Molecule: non-coding RNA, 1366 nt
Organism: Cyanistes caeruleus (blue tit)
Lineage: Eukaryota; Metazoa; Chordata; Aves; Passeriformes; Paridae
Source: RefSeq, a predicted model, not a curated record
UUGUAUUAGAAUGUUUGAAAUUGCAACAGUGCUGACCCAAAAUUGUAUGAUUUGCCAAUGAAUAAAUAAGAAAGUUAUGUGAAAAUUGCCUCAAGGAGGAAGAGGAUUGGCUAGGAGACCCUUUCAAAACGUACAAAUUGAUUUCACAGAGUUACCUGAAAUACAAAGGUUUAAAUGCCUAUUAGUCAUAGUGGAUCAUCUAACCCAUUGGGUUGAAGCAUAUCCAGCUACCAAGGCGACAGCAGAGGUGGUCAGUAAGAUUCUAUUAGAAAAGAUUAUACCAAGCUAUGGAAUCGUCAAUACCGUCGAUUGGGAUAGUGGCCCACAUUUUAUUGCAAGAAUUUUACAGCAAACAACAAAUGCAUUGAACAUCAUCUGGAAGCUCCAUAUCCCUUGGAGACCACAAAGCUCAGAAAGGGUCGAACCAAACAGUUUGGUGAACCAAGCAGUAAAGGUGGCCCUUACAAAGUUAGUUGAGGAGAUGAAAGUGAAUUGGCUGAGGUGUCUUCCCUUAGCUCUAAUGAGAUUAAACCUAGGAUGGACUUAGGGGUUUCGCCCCUUUACGAGAUGGUGCUUGGUUUACCCUUCUUAACUACCCCGGGUAAUAAUGGAAACUAUGAGGAAGGAGAGCAGAGCAUAAGAAAGUAUAUCCAAACUGUAGCCAGCACCUUAGAGGAAUUAAGACAGAAAGGGUAUCUCCCUCAGAGGUCACCUAUCAAUUUUAAAAUCUAUAAGUACCAACCAAGGGACUGGGUUUUGAUUAAAACCUGGAAAGAGCAACCAUUAAUUCCAAAGUGGGAAGGUCCAUUUCAGGUCCUGUUAAUCACAGAAACAGCUGUUCCCACACAGGAGAAGGGAUGGACACACGUUUCAAGGGUAAAAGGACCUGUCCCUGCUCCUACGCAGCAACCCUCCGAUUCCACCGAACGGACCUCGAUCAAAGAAACGGACACUAAGCUGGUUUUGAAGAAGAAACAGUCUGAACCAUCAGGAGGAAUGGAAUAACAGAUCAUCAUUGCUAGAUUUGAACCAUAAGCUGCAAUGAUGUUUAAUGAGCUAUCCUAGCUUAUUUAAAAGAUCCAAAGAGUCUGGAAAGAGGAUAGAGCAUUCUUCCAUGCACUUAGCAAUCAGGCUACAAAAGGAGGAACGAGACAAGUGAAUACAAGAGGGGAGUGAGCUCCUGCAACAGAAAAAGAAGUAGUAGCCAAUAAAGAAGUAUUGCACGGAGGAAGACCAGGUCAGGAAGCACUUUUGCCACAGAGUCACAGAACCUUCAGAAAGGAGACGCAGAAGCUUCUUCCAGAGCUCCGAGGAAAGAGGGCUCUUCAGGAUGGGAGGCAAGGACUUUGUGGAUAAGGACACACAU